Molecule: ribosomal RNA, 468 nt
Filed under: uncultured bacterium
Lineage: Bacteria
Description: partial 16S ribosomal RNA
Rfam family: Bacterial small subunit ribosomal RNA
Source: RNAcentral
GACGAACGCUGGCGGCGUGCUUAACACAUGCAAGUCGAACGAUGAUGCCAGCUUGCUGGUGGCUUAGUGGCGAACGGGUGAGUAACACGUGAGCAACCUGCCCCUGACUUCGGGAUAACCGCGGGAAACCGUGGCUAAUACCGGAUAUGCCGCGCUAUCGCAUGGUGGUGUGUGGAAAGAUUUAUCGGUUGGGGAUGGGCUCGCGGCCUAUCAGCUUGUUGGUGGGGUGAUGGCCUACCAAGGCGACGACGGGUAGCCGGCCUGAGAGGGUGACCGGCCACAGUGGGACUGAGAAACGGACGAGACUCCUACGGGAGGCAGCAGUGGGGAAUAUGGCACAAUGAGCGCAAGCCUGAUGCAGCGACGCCGCGUGAGGGAUGACGGCCUUCGGGUUGUAAACCUCUUUCAGUAGGGAAGAAGGCCUUCGGGUUGACGGUACCUGCAGAAGAAGCGCCGGCUAACUACGUG